CCGGCGAGGGGAGUGAAAAAGAACCUGAAACCGUGUACGUACAAGCAGUGGGAGCACGCUUAGGCGUGUGACUGCGUACCUUUUGUAUAAUGGGUCAGCGACUUAUAUUCUGUAGCAAGGUUAACCGAAUAGGGGAGCCGAAGGGAAACCGAGUCUUAACUGGGCGUUAAGUUGCAGGGUAUAGACCCGAAACCCGGUGAUCUAGCCAUGGGCAGGUUGAAGGUUGGGUAACACUAACUGGAGGACCGAACCGACUAAUGUUGAAAAAUUAGCGGAUGACUUGUGGCUGGGGGUGAAAGGCCAAUCAAACCGGGAGAUAGCUGGUUCUCCCCGAAAGCUAUUUAGGUAGCGCCUCGUGAAUUCAUCUCCGGGGGUAGAGCACUGUUUCGGCAAGGGGGUCAUCCCGACUUACCAACCCGAUGCAAACUGCGAAUACCGGAGAAUGUUAUCACGGGAGACACACGGCGGGUGCUAACGUCCGUCGUGAAGAGGGAAACAACCCAGACCGCCAGCUAAGGUCCCAAAGUCAUGGUUAAGUGGGAAACGAUGUGGGAAGGCCCAGACAGCCAGGAUGUUGGCUUAGAAGCAGCCAUCAUUUAAAGAAAGCGUAAUAGCUCACUGGUCGAGUCGGCCUGCGCGGAAGAUGUAACGGGGCUAAACCAUGCACCGAAGCUGCGGCAGCGACGCUUAUGCGUUGUUGGGUAGGGGAGCGUUCUGUAAGCCUGCGAAGGUGUGCUGUGAGGCAUGCUGGAGGUAUCAGAAGUGCGAAUGCUGACAUAAGUAACGAUAAAGCGGGUGAAAAGCCCGCUCGCCGGAAGACCAAGGGUUCCUGUCCAACGUUAAUCGGGGCAGGGUGAGUCGACCCCUAAGGCGAGGCCGAAAGGCGUAGUCGAUGGGAAACAGGUUAAUAUUCCUGUACUUGGUGUUACUGCGAAGGGGGGACGGAGAAGGCUAUGUUGGCCGGGCG
RNAcentral lists this ribosomal RNA (967 nucleotides) under Escherichia coli. RNAcentral's name for it is "partial 23S ribosomal RNA". It matches the Rfam family "Bacterial large subunit ribosomal RNA", at positions 526 to 1497 of the family's 2925-position model. Lineage: Bacteria; Pseudomonadati; Pseudomonadota; Gammaproteobacteria; Enterobacterales; Enterobacteriaceae. The record is from RNAcentral.